AGAACAUUUAAGUGAUAAAUAGCCACUGCGGGGAAAAAAAUCAAAAUACUGCAAAAACAAAAAUAGCACUCCCUCCAAAAAAUAGACAGAGUUCAGACAUUUCCCAAUGUGAUUCAUAGGAGCUCAGUAGUUUUUUGAAUGAAAUACCUAAUUCUGAAAAAACGAGUGUUCUUUCUAAUGUUUUCCUGAGGCUGUAGCCCUGGGAAAAGCCUGGACUCAUGGCCAGCUAACUCAGAAAUAAAUUUUAAAACCUUUAUUUUUCUAGGCAGCAUCAGGAGCCUGGAGAAGGUGGACAGUUAAAUAAAACAUCAGUUCACACCUAUUAAAAGCAGUCGAGGCAAAGUUCUGGGCCAAAUUGGCUUGGAGAAAUAGUGUGGCAGGUAUGCUUUUAAUGAAGAUCAUUUCUCCACCUUCCUUGUUUUAAUUUGAUUUCCCUGGCAGACUUGUGCUUCCUUGGCUUGGAGGAAAUCUGCUUAACUACCACCAUCUCAACCAGGAGCCAGACAGAGCUGGAUUCCUUCGCCAUUUCUGCAGUUUGCCUUUUGAGGUCCACGGGGAUCACUGCAUUGCCUCCACCGGAGGCCUGGAGAGAGUCCAGCAGGAAAGGAGAGGCUGGUCCUCUGCCUGGGACAAGCUCCAUGAUGUCAGUGGCAGCGGCUUUGCCCACUCUCAGCUAAAUUACAAACUCUCUCCUCAUCCCAGAUUACUGGCGGCGACACAGAGUCUCUUUGUCAACUGCUCCAAAUCACCCAGCAAAGUGCCUCUCAGGCUAAGAGGACAGCUAAGACCCAACAACUGGGUGGCCGCAGGGCACUCAAAACCUCCUGUGAACAGGCACUGUCAGCAAACCGAGGGCAGACCAGGCGAGACAACUCAGAGCCCAGAAUUCACGCUGCAGCUGCCCCUGGCCUCUCUCUCCAAGCUUCCUUGCUGCCCAGGGACCAGGCAAAGAUCUCAGACCUCAGCUCUUCUGGCGCAGAGAGAAACACAACAAAAUCCCCCAGCUUUUGCCUCCUGUCUCUUUCCAUUUUGUUAGGCCAAUGGAAAGAAGAACCAGCAAAAAACCAUUUUUUCUAACUUUAAUGUUGUUCAUUGUAAUAAACUUAAUCAAGUUUCACUAGCAAACCGUUUUCUGUUUGUUCUUUGGAGAAUUAAGCUGUAGUCUUCAAACCCUGCCUUAAGGAGAUGCGUGGUUUUGGAAUAAAAUUACAGCCUUUCACUACGCGGAUGACACCAGCUGACCGCUAAAGACCGGAAGUGACACACACGUGACUCACUGAAUACAGCACGGACUUAAUACAAGGGGAUGUGCCUUCUGAGGCAUCGGGAGCACUGAGACCAUCUCUUAAACAGGGGCCCCAUUACCUUUGCAAAAACAUGCAGUUGAGACUGAAGUGUUGGUUCAACAAUGAGAUGAACAAAACUUUAUUAAGUUGGAGCUAAAUAUGGAUGGGGUGACCUCAUCAGCUGAGUAUCAGGUGAAGACAGUCAAACUGAACCCCAAGGAGGGGUUUGUCUCCAAGGGGUCCCCUGGUUCCUUCCCAGAACCUCCCCAUCCAAGACUCUUCUCGGACUGACCACCAUGGCUGGGUGUCCUGGUUAUGUCUGGAUCAGAAUGAGAGCAGAAACACAGUCACUGCUCCCAAGACUUGUCAUUUCCAGGUUGGAAGAUACAAGGGAGUUACAAGGAAUCUGAAGACAAAUCACAAAGCCAUGAGCUUGCUAAAUAUUUUAAACCUGAGAAAGAAGAGUAGGAGCAUAUUGGCUGGUAGGACUCGACUGUUCCCUGAACGUGAAUUUCAGGGCAUUCUUCUAGGUUAGAGACUUUCAAAGGUGUCCACUGAAACAGAGAUGCUGACAACUCCUUAAUACAAUGGGCAAACUGUGGUUAGAUGCCUACCUGUUUCUCCACUCUUGUUAUGCUUCCAGUUCUAUUUCAAAACCCACUAGGAUGACACUGGAGUCUAUUAUACAGAGGGAAGUAAGUCAAAAAGAAAAAAUACCAAUACAGUGUAUUAUGCAUAUACAUGGGAUUUAGAAAGAUGGUAACAAUGACCCUAUAUGUGAGACAGCAAAAGAGACACAGAGAUAAAGAACAGACUUUUGGACUCUGUGGGAGAAGGCAAGGGUGGGAUAAUUUGACAGAAUAGCAUUGAAACAUGCAUAUUAUCAUAUGUGAAAUAGAUCGCCAGUCCAGGUUCGAUGCAUGAGACAGGGCGCUCUGGGCCGGUGCACUGGGAUGACCCUGAGGGAUGGGAUGGGGAGGGAGGUGGGAGGAGGGUUCAGGAUGGGGGACACAUGUUCACCCAUGGC
Molecule: long non-coding RNA, 2313 nt
Filed under: Ovis aries (sheep)
Lineage: Eukaryota; Metazoa; Chordata; Mammalia; Artiodactyla; Bovidae
Description: lncRNA (ENSOARG00000026799.1)
Source: RNAcentral